This 426-nucleotide ribosomal RNA is filed under the name uncultured prokaryote. RNAcentral describes it as "bacterial SSU rRNA". It matches the Rfam family "Bacterial small subunit ribosomal RNA", at positions 355 to 796 of the family's 1533-position model. The record is from RNAcentral.
UGGGGAAUUUUCCGCAAUGGGGGGAACCCUGACGGAGCAACGCCGCGUGCGGGAGGACGGCCUGUGGGUUGUAAACCGCUUUUCUCUAGGAAGAAGGUCUGACGGUACUAGAGGGAUCAGCAUCGGCUAACUCCGUGCCAGCAGCCGCGGUAAGACGGAGGAUGCAAGCGUUAUCCGGAAUUAUUGGGCGUAAAGCGUCCGUAGGCGGAUCAUCAAGUCAGUUGUUUAAGACUGCAGCUCAACUGUGGGCGAGCAACUGAAACUGAUGAACUAGAGUGCGGUAGGGGUAGAGGGAAUUCCCAGUGUAGCGGUGAAAUGCGUAGAUAUUAGGAAGAACACCAGUGGCGAAGGCGCUCUACUGGGCCAAGACUGACGCUGAUGGACGAAAGCUAGGGGAGCGAAAGGGAUUAGAUACCCCCGUAGUCC